This 205-nucleotide unclassified non-coding RNA is filed under the name Hevea brasiliensis (rubber tree). Lineage: Eukaryota; Viridiplantae; Streptophyta; Magnoliopsida; Malpighiales; Euphorbiaceae. The record is from RNAcentral.
GUUUGAGAACAUUUAUAAGUAUCACAAAAGGACUAAAGAUGGAAGAUCAGGGAAAGCGAAUGGGAAAAAUUAUAGGUAUUUUGAGCAAUUAGAAGCUCUAGAUAAUAAUCCAUUGCUUCCCUCUCAAGCUGAUUCAAUGGAAGAAAUCCCAAGGAUUAUCCCAAACAAUGUUGUGCACAAUGCAAUUCCAUGUUCCGUAGUAAAC